GUUCAUAUUCUGUUGCCACAGUGACAUUUGUUGAAUCUCAAUCUGCUAUUUUGGGAACUCUGAAAAAUAUGUUCAGAUGCUGUUCAACAGCCUGCAGGGAAAUCCAGUCAUGUGGAAGGGGAUGUUUUCUUCCACUUAGACUUUGCAGAGAAAAUCAGCCUUGAAGUGGAACUGAGCACAUGCUUUUCAGAAGCUGCAUCAUUCUGUACCCAGCCAGAGCAUUGGGCCUGACAACAGCUGGAUCCAGCAGAAAACUGGACACUCUAGUAGAUGUCAUGUGGAGAUGUGCCUGGCUGGACUAAUAGUCACAUGGAUACGAGUUUUAAAAAAAUCUCUCAGAGCUUUUCCAAAAUCAAAUAAUAUUCUUAAGUUGCUGUAGUAGAUGAAACAUUAGUUAGUGUCUUUUUAAU
This is a long non-coding RNA of Diceros bicornis minor, 410 nucleotides long. RefSeq lists it as uncharacterized. The record is from RefSeq and is a predicted model, not a curated record. NCBI's taxonomy places the organism in Eukaryota, Metazoa, Chordata, Mammalia, Perissodactyla, Rhinocerotidae. The transcript has 3 exons.